AUAACCUUCGCCCGCGAGAAGAAGGAGAAUGAAUUAUCAAUCAGCCUCUCCUCCUCCUCCUCCUUCAGAUUCUUCCUUCCUCCGGGUAAACACAGUGAUCUCGGUACUCGAACCCUUAUCCACCUCCACCGUAUGCGCGGCCUUACCCUUCGCCUUCUCAAGCUUAUCAGGGUAUUUCCAUGGAGGAUACCCUCCGUCCCGCCCACCAGCUCCUAAAUGCCAGCCUUGCUGCUACCAUAGACAUGAUAGAGCUUCUUGCUUCUCAUUUCUGAAAGGAUGGAAAUAAAAGAGCCAAAACAAAC
Molecule: long non-coding RNA, 302 nt
Organism: Phalaenopsis equestris
Lineage: Eukaryota; Viridiplantae; Streptophyta; Magnoliopsida; Asparagales; Orchidaceae
Exons: 5
Source: RefSeq, a predicted model, not a curated record